Molecule: ribosomal RNA, 558 nt
Filed under: uncultured bacterium
Lineage: Bacteria
Description: partial 16S ribosomal RNA
Rfam family: Bacterial small subunit ribosomal RNA
Source: RNAcentral
UGGGGAAUAUUGCACAAUGGGCGCAAGCCUGAUGCAGCCAUGCCGCGUGUGUGAAGAAGGCCUUCGGGUUGUAAAGCACUUUCAGCGAGGAGGAAGGUGGUGAGCUUAAUACGCUCAUCAAUUGACGUUACCCGCAGAAGAAGCACCGGCUAACUCCCGUGCCAGCAGCCGCGGUAAAUACGGAGGGUGCAAGCGUUAAUCGGAAUUACUGGGCGUAAAGCGCACGCAGGCGGUUUGUUAAGUCAGAUGUGAAAUCCCCGGGNUCAACCUGGGAACUGCAUUUGAAACUGGCAAGCUAGAGUCUCGUAGAGGGGGGUAGAAUUCCAGGUGUAGCGGUGAAAUGCGUAGAGAUCUGGAGGAAUACCGGUGGCGAAGGCGGCCCCCUGGACGAAGACUGACGCUCAGGUGCGAAAGCGUGGGGAGCAAACAGGAUUAGAUACCCUGGUAGUCCACGCUGUAAACGAUGUCGAUUUGGAGGUUGUGCCCUUGAGGCGUGGCUUCCGGAGCUAACGCGUUAAAUCGACCGCCUGGGGAGUACGGCCGCAAGGUUAAAAACUC